GUGAGGAAUAUUGCACAAUGGGCGAAAGCCUGAUGCAGCAACGCCGCGUGCGGGAUGAAGGCCUUCGGGUCGUAAACCGCUUUUUAGGGGGACGAGUGAGGACGGUACCCCUGGAAUAAGUCUCGGCUAACUACGUGCCAGCAGCCGCGGUAAAACGUAGGAGGCUAGCGUUAUCCGGAUUCACUGGGCGUAAAGCGCGUGUAGGUGGCUCGCUAAGUCGAAUGUUAAAGCCCCCGGCUUAACUGGGGGAGGUCAUUCGAUACUGGCGGACUUGAGGGCAGUAGAGGAGAGUGGAAUUCCCGGUGUAGCGGUGGAAUGCGUAGAGAUCGGGAGGAACACCAGUGGCGAAGGCGGCUCUCUGGCCUGAUCCUGACACUGAGACGCGAAAGCGUGGGUAGCAAACGGGAUUAGAAACCCGUGUAGUCC
This 426-nucleotide ribosomal RNA is filed under the name uncultured bacterium. RNAcentral describes it as "bacterial SSU rRNA". It matches the Rfam family "Bacterial small subunit ribosomal RNA", at positions 354 to 796 of the family's 1533-position model. The record is from RNAcentral.